AUCCAGCUGACGAGUCCUACAUAGGACGACAAGCGCGUCCUGGAU
Non-coding RNA from Schistosoma rodhaini, 45 nucleotides. The record is from Rfam. Lineage: Eukaryota; Metazoa; Platyhelminthes; Trematoda; Strigeidida; Schistosomatidae.